UGUGAGCCCCGCCCACUUUGAGUCUGAUUUAAGGAUGAGACUCAGCCUCAACCAGCAGAACUUCAGCUUCAGCUGCUCUGUCUGGUCCUGCUCCAGACCGUCUUCAGAGGAAACAACUUCUCCCAGAAGUCUAAGGGAAGAAACUUUUGCUCCUUUUGCAACAAGCUCAGAGGUUUAGCUUCAAGUCAACGACAACAUGUCAUACGAAGCACCACUCAUCAUUGUUGGUGGACAAGGAGGAUACCCGUUCAGUUUUAAUGGUGCAGAAACUGGAUCUCUGCUUAAAAAGCUGGAUGUGUGGGUCGGACCAACCCAAGUGAGAUGUAUAACGGUCUAUAUGUUUGACGGUGUUCAAAAGACAUAUGGGACAGCCAGGGUAGCCGGUGAUAAAAUGGUGUCCUUCACUUUUGAGGAUGACGAAUUUUUUUCCUCUCUCAGUCUUUGGCCCAACAAUACUAAAACUCGUCUGGGUGACAUUAAAUUCACAACAUCGAAGAACCGAGCAUUUGACACUGGUAGGCAGUCUGACAGCCAGUCUGACGAGGAGGCUAUGGUACCACCAACACCAGUAGAUGUUGGCUCUGGAUUGUGUUUUGGAGUUCAGGGCAGGUCAGGAACCGAAAUUGAUGCAUUUGGGUUCCUGUUCAUCAAAGUUACUAAGUGAACCGGUUCUAGAGGGCUAGAUGGUGAAACAACAACCUGUGUGGGUUCAGCUUCUUCUCUUUGAUUUCUUCAUCUGGUUUGUGUUUUUUUCUUUGGACUUUUACUGCAGUUUUCUGAAUGUUUCCAUCAGAUUUUUGGAUUUGCUGUCAUUUUUCCUGCUGUACUGAGAAACUCCUGAUGGUUUUCCUGUUAUUGUCACUGGAAUCCAAUGUUUCUGUUGUCCUCAUCAUCUCUUCUGGAAAUGGCAUUCUAUCAGUAAAUCUUGUUGGUGUGGACGCUGGAAAAAGCCCUUCAGUUCAUGUCAAAUCACUGUUUGUGCUCAUCUAGUCUGUAUGAUUUGGAAAAUAAAAACCUCAACCAAA
Oryzias latipes (Japanese medaka) is the source of this 1025-nucleotide non-coding RNA. Lineage: Eukaryota; Metazoa; Chordata; Actinopteri; Beloniformes; Adrianichthyidae. The record is from RefSeq and is a predicted model, not a curated record.